CCAGCCCGGCCGCCCGAGCCCGGGGAGCGGCCGGGCCCCCGCGCCUCCGCCCUGGCCGCCGGGCUGGAGCGGGGCGGCGCCUCGCUGAGGGGUGGGCCCCCUACUUUCCUCCGACUCAAAAGCCCCGGCGUCGUGGGGCACGCUCCGCCCGAGUCCUGCCGCCGAGCGCCUCGGGUCCCAGUCCCGCUGUGUCCGCCGCCAUGGCCAAGCCCCUGACAGACCAGGAGAAGCGGCGGCAGAUCAGCAUCCGCGGCAUCGUGGGCGUGGAGAACGUGGCCGAGCUGAAGAAGGGCUUCAACCGGCACCUGCACUUCACGCUCGUCAAGGACCGCAACGUGGCCACCCCCCGCGACUACUUCUUCGCGCUGGCACACACGGUGCGCGACCACCUGGUGGGCCGCUGGAUCCGCACGCAGCAGCACUACUACGAGAAGAGCCCCAAGAGGGUUUAUUACCUCUCUUUGGAAUUUUAUAUGGGCCGAACCUUACAGAACACCAUGAUCAACCUUGGCCUGCAAAAUGCCUGUGAUGAGGCCAUUUACCAGCUUGGGUUGGAUAUGGAGGAGUUAGAAGAAAUUGAAGAAGAUGCUGGGCUUGGCAACGGUGGUCUUGGGAGGCUUGCUGCCUGCUUCUUGGAUUCCAUGGCAACCCUGGGACUUGCAGCCUAUGGAUAUGGCAUCCGAUAUGAAUAUGGAAUCUUUAAUCAGAAGAUCCGAGAUGGAUGGCAGGUAGAGGAGGCAGAUGAUUGGCUUAGGCAUGGAAACCCCUGGGAGAAGGCCCGUCCUGAGUUCAUGCUGCCUGUGCACUUCUACGGAAAAGUAGAGCACUCCAGUGCCGGUUCCAAGUGGGUCGACACCCAGGUGGUUCUGGCCCUGCCAUAUGAUACCCCAGUGCCUGGGUAUAUGAAUAAUACUGUCAACACCAUGCGCCUCUGGUCUGCUCGGGCGCCGAAUGACUUUAACCUUAGAGACUUUAAUGUUGGAGACUACAUUCAGGCUGUGCUGGACCGAAAUCUGGCUGAGAACAUCUCCCGGGUCCUGUAUCCCAAUGAUAAUUUUUUUGAAGGGAAGGAGCUAAGACUGAAGCAAGAGUACUUCGUGGUCGCAGCUACCUUGCAAGAUGUCAUUCGACGCUUCAAAGCCUCCAAGUUUGGCUCCACCAAUAGUACCAGGACUGCAUUUGAUGCCUUUCCAGACCAGGUCGCCAUCCAGCUGAAUGACACUCACCCUUCCCUUGCCAUCCCUGAGCUGAUGAGGAUUUUUGUGGAUAUUGAAAAAUUGCCAUGGUCCAAGGCUUGGGAGAUCACCCAGAAGACCUUUGCAUACACCAACCACACAGUGCUCCCAGAAGCCCUGGAGCGCUGGCCUGUAGAGCUGGUGGAGAAGUUGCUUCCUCGACAUUUGCAAAUCAUUUAUGAGAUAAAUCAGAAGCAUUUAGAUAAAAUUGCAGCCUUGUUUCCUAAAGAUGUCGACCGUCUGAGAAGGAUGUCUCUGAUAGAAGAGGAAGGAGGCAAAAGGAUCAACAUGGCCCAUCUCUGCAUCGUCGGCUCCCAUGCUGUGAAUGGUGUGGCUAAAAUUCACUCAGACAUCGUGAAGACCCAAGUAUUCAAGGACUUCAGUGAGCUAGAACCAGACAAAUUUCAGAACAAAACCAAUGGGAUCACUCCAAGGCGCUGGCUCUUACUCUGCAACCCGGGUCUUGCAGAGUUAAUAGCAGAGAAAAUUGGGGAAGAUUACGUGAAAGACUUGAGCCAGCUGACAAAACUGCACAGCUUCCUGGGUGAUGACAUCUUCCUCCGGAAAAUUUCCAAUGUGAAGCAGGAGAACAAGCUGAAGUUUUCUCAGUUCCUGGAGAAGGAGUACAAAGUGAAGAUCAACCCAUCCUCCAUGUUUGACGUGCAGGUGAAGAGGAUCCAUGAGUACAAGCGGCAGCUUCUGAACUGCCUGCACGUGGUCACGAUGUACAACCGCAUUAAGAAAAACCCUAAGAAGUUAUUUGUACCCAGAACUGUUAUCAUUGGUGGCAAAGCUGCCCCAGGAUAUCACAUGGCCAAAAUGAUCAUAAAGCUGAUCACCUCCGUGGCAGAAGUGGUGAACAAUGACUCUGUGGUGGGGAGCAAGUUGAAACUCAUCUUCUUGGAGAACUACAGAGUGUCUCUUGCUGAAAAAGUCAUUCCAGCCACAGAUCUGUCGCAGCAGAUUUCCACUGCAGGCACCGAGGCCUCGGGGACAGGCAAUAUGAAGUUCAUGCUGAAUGGGGCCCUGACCAUCGGGACCAUGGAUGGGGCCAAUGUGGAGAUGGCAGAGGAAGCCGGGGAAGAAAACCUGUUCAUCUUUGGCAUGCGAAUCGAGGAUGUGGCUGCUUUGGACAAGAAAGGGUAUGAGGCAAAAGAAUAUUAUGAGGCACUUCCAGAGCUGAAGCUGGCCAUUGAUCAGAUUGACCAUGGCUUCUUUUCUCCUAAGCAGCCUGACCUCUUCAAAGACUUAAUCAACAUGCUAUUUUAUCAUGACAGAAUCCAAAGGCCUGGAACACCAUGGUACUCAGAAACAUAGCUGCUUCGGGGAAAUUCUCCAGUGACCGAACUAUUAAGGAAUACGCCAGGGACAUCUGGAACAUGGAACCUUCAGAUCUCAAGAUUUCCCUCUCCAAUGAAUCUAGCAAUGGGGUAAACAAAGCCAAUGGAAAAUGAACAUCAAGCACAGAGUUGAAAUGUGCUAUGAACCCCAAGCAGGAUAAGUACUAAGAAACCCAAACCUAGAAAAAUCAAAGUAGAGUAAAAAUGCUGGGGAAAAAAAUCUCAAAAAUAGAAGGAAAAGUAAACAUUACUUCAAAGGCGCAACAGUAAGACUGGCAGCUGACCUUCUAAUGAAACAGUGAAAGCCAGAACAAAAUGGAUGCCAUCCUCAAAUUGUUGAAGUAAAGUUACUGCCAACUUAGAACUGUAUGCCUUGUGAAAAUAUCCUUCAAAAAUGAAGAUGAAAUAAAGACUUUUUCAGAUCACAACUGAGAGAAUUCUUCACCAACACACAGGCAGAACAAAAGUCCCAGAUGGAAGCACAGAAAUGCUGGAAGUAAUAAAGAACAAAGUAAUCUAAAUACUAACUUUAUAAUAUAAGAAUAAUAAUGUUUUAUGGAGUGUGUAAUGUAGAGUAAAUUAAAAUACAUGAUAGUAAGUAUUCAUAUGUUGGGGGUGUAAAUGUAAUUAGAGUGUUCUAAGGUCAUUGCAUUAUCCAGGAAGUGACAUAUUCAUUUAUUUGAGAAUUUAGUUCAGAUAUACAUCAUUGUCAACACUGUGAAGGAGGUAUGCAGAGAGAGAUGAGAGCUUAGAGGGUUAUCAAAAUAAUGCUUGUUUUAUUUCUAUAAGUAAUUAAGAUUGUAUAUAGCAGGUGACUUGCUUUAAAGUGUUUUCAUAACUCAGAGCCUGACCUGUGUUGCCAAGUAAAAUGUAAGAUAUAA
Molecule: non-coding RNA, 3456 nt
Organism: Manis javanica (Malayan pangolin)
Lineage: Eukaryota; Metazoa; Chordata; Mammalia; Pholidota; Manidae
Source: RefSeq, a predicted model, not a curated record